Molecule: long non-coding RNA, 1473 nt
Filed under: Homo sapiens (human)
Lineage: Eukaryota; Metazoa; Chordata; Mammalia; Primates; Hominidae
Description: survival associated mitochondrial melanoma specific oncogenic non-coding RNA, transcript variant 15 (SAMMSON)
Source: RNAcentral
GGGCAGACACACUGAAGUCGCUAGACAUUUGAGGAACACAUCCGGGGAAGAAGACACAGGUGGCUGGUCAUGGAGAGCCCGCUGGGGGAAGAGCACACAGACAGGCACCGGCAGGCCAUUGACCAGCGGGACAAGGUGGGCUCAAUGUCAUCACAAGGGUGCUUAAGAGGGAAAGAGGAAGCCAUGAGGGUCAGAGUCAAAGGAAGACUUGAAGAUACUACACUGCGGACUUUAAAGAUGAAGGAAGGGGCGAAAACCAAGAAUGUGGGAAGCCUCUAGAAGCUAGAGAAGGCAAGGAAACAAAUUUUCCACUAGAGCCUCCAGAAGGAACACAGCCCUGCUGACCCACUGUAAUGUCUGACCUCUAGAUGUGUAAGGGUAGUAAGACUGAAAGUCUCAGAAAGGCACUGUUAAAUUCUUAUUCCUCAACUAUGCAACUCAAAACUGGGGUCCUCAGCAGUGAGCGAGGGGUGAGAGAAGACACUGUAUAAACAUGGCACAUCCUCCUGGAAAGUCAACUUUACUCAAAGGUUCUUACACACAGUGACAGCUAGCAGAGUCUAAAAUGCUGACAUUAUGACUUAGAGAUGUGAUAAAGAGAAACAUCUAUUGCAUUUUCUUGGCUCGUGUGGAAUGACUUAUCCUGGAAUUUAGAGUUGAAGAUAAUCCUGAUGCUUCAAAGAGAAGAGUUGGAACACAGUCCUUUUUUCUAAACAGAGGAAUUGUUGAAUAUGCGACUGAACCUCUGACUUAACUAAUUAGUUAAUUUGGAGCAGAGUUUGAACACAGUCCUUUUUCUAAACAGAGGAAUUGUUGAAUAUGCAACUGGUCCUCUGACUUAACUAAUUAUUUAAUUUGGAAGUUAUAGGUUUUUUAUUACUUGAGGAGCAGCUUUCUCUGAACAAAUACAGUGUCCCCUGGGGUGUCCAAAUUGUGACAGAAAAGUAGCGCCAGCUUGAAACUAGCUAGUCAUCACAUAGUGGCAUCAUGUGAAUGAAGAAUCCCCCAAAUCUGUGACCCUCUUCUAUCCUUAUGAACUAAUUCAAUAAAUAAAUGAGCACUUUCUCAGUUCCCAAACUGAGAGCAGUUUAAAAAAAUAAUGAGAGCACAGAUAUCUAUUUAGAGAGAUGGCGAGAUAGAGGAGAGAGCAAGUUGCACACCACGAAACAAAGGGAAAGAUAAGAAGAGAGAGUGUGUCACUACUUCCCCGUGGCAGAAUCACAAUCUUUUUUGGAUGUCAUGUUGAAAAGAUUCCCAAUUCGUAGUUCUGUGAGCUAAAGCAGAUGGAUGCUCCAUGUUGGUACAAAUUCCUAUUUGAAGCAGUGUGGUUGCAAAGAUGGGGUUUGGGUCAUUUGAUUUUCUCCGAAAAACAAUCUUGUGUAACUGUUAAAAGAAUUUAUAAUACCCAAUGCAAUGUAUCAUCCGUGAUGCUUCUUCAAAAAUGUUAAAUAAAUGCUGAAACCAGUGUUUCAA